GGCACCUGCUUCGCCGAAAGGAGGCUUGGCUGCAUCAGACUGAACGAGCGAGCGAGCUGCACGCGGCUCAGUCCCCGGGCGGGGUUUCCUGGGCCCUGGGCGCGCCGCCCUCGGGCCGACCCGUCACGGGAGGGGCGACCCCGGCGGGGGCGGUGCGCGCGGCGGGACUGGGGAGCCGGCCUCCUCCCGCCCACGGCUCCCCCUGGGCCCGCGGCCUCACCCCCGCCUGCGUGGCCGCGGCCUGGUCUCGCCUCUGCGCCCGCUUGGGACCUAGCGCUCGCCAGCCUCCCCCCUCCCCCUCCCUCUCCCCUUCCCUCCUCCCCUCCUCUCUCCUUCCCUCUCCCUCCUCCCCCUCCUUCCCUCCCCCUCCCCCUCCCUCCCUCUCCCUCUUCCCUCCCUCUCCCUCCUCCCCCUCCUCCCCCCCUUCCCUCCCCCUCCCUCCCUCUCCCUCUUCCCUCCCUCUCCCUCCUCCCCCUCCUCCCCCUCCUUCCCUCCCCCUCCCCCUCCCUCCCUCUCCCUCUUCCCUCCCUCUCCCUCCUCCCUCCCUCUCCCUCUUCCCUCCCUCUCCCUCCUCCCCCUCCUCCCCCUCCUUCCCUCCCCCUCCCCCUCCCUCCCUCUCCCUCUUCCCUCCCUCUCCCUCCUCCCCCUCCUCCCCCUCCUUCCCUCCCCCUCCUCCUCCCUCCCUCUCCCUCCCUCCCCCUCCUCCUCCCUCCCUCUCCCUCCUCCCUCCGUCUUCCUCCUCCCCCCUCCUCCCCUCCCCUUCUCCCCCCUCCCCCUUUCCCCUCCUCCCCCGGCGGGGGGAGGGGGGGCGAGGCUGGCCCUGGGCGGCGCCCUCACUCCUUUCCCUCUAAAGGCCUGGAUGCCUCCUUUGAACCUUUUCGCUGCCACCGAUCGAUUGAUCGUGUCUAUUGCCUGCAACCAGAGAACCCUCCUGUGCGCCGCGGUUGUUUAAGCAAGCCGGCAGGAGUGGCCCUCUGUCCCCCGCCCCGCCCCCCAGCCCCAAAGAAACCCCAGCUUGGGUGGAUUCCCCGCCCACUGUGCCUGUUCCCGAUUCCCCGCUGCCCCCUUUCCUGCGGGCGCGGCCGAGUGGGUGCUGCCCCGGUGGGGACAGGCGAAGGCGCGGGUGGUGACCACAGGCCUCCCUGGGGGGCGGGGGAGGGGGGGCUCACCUGCUAG
This 1176-nucleotide long non-coding RNA is filed under the name Canis lupus familiaris (dog). RNAcentral describes it as "lncRNA (ENSCAFG00000054542.1)". Lineage: Eukaryota; Metazoa; Chordata; Mammalia; Carnivora; Canidae. The record is from RNAcentral.